This is a long non-coding RNA of Mauremys reevesii (Reeves's turtle), 195 nucleotides long. RefSeq lists it as uncharacterized. The transcript is spliced from 2 exons. The record is from RefSeq and is a predicted model, not a curated record. NCBI's taxonomy places the organism in Eukaryota, Metazoa, Chordata, Testudines, Geoemydidae.
UCAAACAAUCGCAGGGUAAAUUAGGCCUGGUAAGGAACAGUGAAGUCGAACUAAUAAAACUGCAGUGCUAGCUCCUCCUUGUCAUAGCACGGCUGAUGGUGCUGCAUGCAAAUCAGGUCUUCUGUCAUAACCAUCUAAAGAGAAACGUCUCACUUGACUUGCUUUUACUGGAAAGAAAGAAAGAAAGAAAGAAAG